CCUACGGGUGGCUGCAGUGGGGAAUAUUGGACAAUGGGCGCAAGCCUGAUCCAGCAAUGCCGCGUGGAUGAAGAAGGUCUUCGGAUUGUAAAGUCCUUUCGACGGGGACGAUGAUGACGGUACCCGUAGAAGAAGCCCCGGCUAACUUCGUGCCAGCAGCCGCGGUAAUACGAAGGGGGCUAGCGUUGCUCGGAAUGACUGGGCGUAAAGGGCGCGUAGGCGGUUUGGUUAGUUAGGCGUGAAAUUCCUGGGCUCAACCUGGGGACUGCGCUUAAUACAGCCAGGCUAGAGUGUGGAAGAGGGUCGUGGAAUUCCCAGUGUAGAGGUGAAAUUCGUAGAUAUUGGGAAGAACACCGGUGGCGAAGGCGGCGACCUGGUCCAUUACUGACGCUGAGGCGCGAAAGCGUGGGGAGCAAACAGGAUUAGAUACCCGGGUAGUC
RNAcentral lists this ribosomal RNA (440 nucleotides) under uncultured bacterium. Its description in RNAcentral is "partial 16S ribosomal RNA". It matches the Rfam family "Bacterial small subunit ribosomal RNA", at positions 338 to 795 of the family's 1533-position model. The record is from RNAcentral.